This 328-nucleotide ribosomal RNA is filed under the name uncultured eukaryote. RNAcentral describes it as "partial 18S ribosomal RNA". It matches the Rfam family "Eukaryotic small subunit ribosomal RNA", at positions 1470 to 1796 of the family's 1831-position model. The record is from RNAcentral.
CCCUUAGAUGUCCUGGGCCGCACGCGCGUUACACUGAUGCAUUCAACGAGCUUAUAACCUUGGCCGAGAGGCCUGGGCAAUCUUGUUAACGUGCAUCGUGAUAGGGAUAGAUUAUUGAAAUUAUUAAUCUUGAACGAGGAAUUCCUAGUAAACGCAGAUCAUCAAUCUGCAUUGAUUACGUCCCUGCCCUUUGUACACACCGCCCGUCGCACCUACCGAUUGGAUGGUCCGGUGAAGCCUCGGGAUUGUGGUUCUUGCCGCUUUAUUGUGGCGUGACCGCGAGAACUUGUCUAAACCUUAUCAUCUAGAGGAAGGUGAAGGCGUAACA